Long non-coding RNA from Gigantopelta aegis, 1484 nucleotides. RefSeq lists it as uncharacterized. The transcript has 3 exons. The record is from RefSeq and is a predicted model, not a curated record. Lineage: Eukaryota; Metazoa; Mollusca; Gastropoda; Neomphalida; Peltospiridae.
UGGAGUCGGUAUCUGGAUUAAAAAUCCCAUGCCUCGACUGGGAUUCGAACCCAGUACCUACCAGCCUGUAGACCGAUGACCUAACCACGUCGCCACCGAGGCCGGUAAGUGACAAAAGAAGUGCAUGGAGCAAAAUAAUAAUAAAAUAGUUUGCUUUACAAUGAUGUGAUAAACAGAAAACGCUGAAAUAUUUACAUAUUGUCAUUUCAAAUAUAUAUUUAAAAGAUAAUUUCUGUUUCAACUAAUAUCAGAGGUGAUUCAUUUAGACUAUAGGAUUAUGAACAUGGUGUUCGUAUUUUUUUCCGUUUCUUUUGUGCUCGGUAUGCAAAGACAGUUACUAGUUCAGAAACACCCAGCUAACCAAUAUGUUACAUUUUACCAGCUAAAUGUUUUUUCUUUCUUUUAAAGUAUUUUCGAGCUUAAUAGGAGGUAUUUGUAACCAAGCACUCAGUCCACUCACCCAUUCCAAGGUCGUAUCCAAAACGAGGCUAUAGGGGCAGAGUCGAGAAGACGCCAUAACUAACUACGACCUGCUUACAGUUUAUUAAUGAAUAUGAAAACUGAUCUUCAUGGGUCACACACGGAUAUGUCGAGACACAUGGAUGUAUCUAAUGGAAACCUCAAGGGACACGUUAACGAAAAUCAAGCGUCACUAUGAGGAAAAAGGCUUGGUUCCAAGAGUAAAAAAAUCAGGUGAAUGUAGAUGAGAAAUCCAAAUGGAGAGGUAUUGAACAAACAAGAACGGACCCUCUUCUUGCUAUAGUCGAACGAUCGUUUUAUCAAGCCAAGUGCAGUGAUGCCAAAACAACAGCCGCAACAUACGGAAUUUCUAGGUUGGAACCAUCAAGACCAAACUCAAAGGACAUACACUUUAACUACUCCUUCGAUUAUACACAACAGGUGCACUAUCCUGCCGAUCCAAGGAAGUGGGAGUGCCAGGUGUUCGGUAUACAUGCAGAAGGAAUAACAUGUCAGAUAAAUGAUUUGAUUGACGAAACAAGGGCGCAAAUGCUGUCAUCAGCCUCCUACACCACUUCCUGGAGAACUAUGGAAUUGGUGAAAUGCACCUCGAACUUAAUGCAGAUAACUGCAGUGGCCAGAACAAAAACAACUGUGUAAUGUGGUACAUUUGCUGGCGUAGUCUCGUGGGACGUCAUACCACAAGUUACAUACACUUCAUGUUAGCAGACCACACUAGAUUAUAAAUGGUGGAGAUGCAACGAUCCUUACCAGUGAACGGAGCAACCCCAGUCAACUAUAGGUUUUGGGGCUAACUCUGGCAACCACCAAACUACUGUAGCUUACUGGGAAUUUAAAAACCUAAAUGACAAAUAUUAUUUUAAAUUGGCAAAAUAAUUUCAUGAUACACAGGUAAUUGAUUUUUUUUGUGGGAAAAUAACUGGGUUUACAGAUAAUUUGGAGAAAUGAUUUGCUUGUAAAGGAAAAAUUCAUAAUUUAUUAUUAUAAAAAAGUUUGAAGGCCUA